RNAcentral lists this ribosomal RNA (467 nucleotides) under uncultured bacterium. Its description in RNAcentral is "partial 16S ribosomal RNA". It matches the Rfam family "Bacterial small subunit ribosomal RNA", at positions 28 to 506 of the family's 1533-position model. The record is from RNAcentral.
GACGAACGCUGGCGGCGUGCUUAACACAUGCAAGUCGAACGGAAAGGCCCUGCUUUUGUGGGGUGCUCGAGUGGCGAACGGGUGAGUAACACGUGAGUAACCUGCCCUUGACUUUGGGAUAACUUCAGGAAACUGGGGCUAAUACCGGAUAGGAGCUCCUGCUGCAUGGUGGGGGUUGGAAAGUUUCGGCGGUUGGGGAUGGACUCGCGGCUUAUCAGCUUGUUGGUGGGGUAGUGGCUUACCAAGGCUUUGACGGGUAGCCGGCCUGAGAGGGUGACCGGCCACAUUGGGACUGAGAUACGGCCCAGACUCCUACGGGAGGCAGCAGUGGGGAAUAUUGCACAAUGGGCGGAAGCAUGAUGCAGCAACGCCGCGUGCGGGAUGACGGCCUUCGGGUUGUAAACCGCUUUCGCCUGUGACGAAGCGUGAGUGACGGGAAUGGGUAAAGAAGCACCGGCGAACUACGU